CCAGGCUGGUCUCGAACUCUUGACCUCAGGUGAUCCAUCCGCCUUAGCCUCCCAAAGUGUUGGGAUCAUAGGCGUGAGCCACCGUGCCCGGCCCAAGCUUUUUAUUUUGAGAUACUUGGGUUCACAUGCUGUUGCAAGAGGGCCCUGCCACGUCACAGCAGCAGGCAGACCACCUCCAGGGACCUUCUGGGGGCACAGGCUCCCUCCUGGCCCCUCUUCCACCCCAGGGGGUUCUGGGGCAGCUGCGGCUAAGCCUGGCACAGCCAGAGCCGGGGGCCAGGGAGUGGGCGUGCCUCUGGAGUCACCAGUUGUUUCCUGUCUUCUGGGAGCUGGGACGAUGGAGAACUCAAGGCUGGUGAAGAGGCCACCUGACGCCUGCAGUCGGCCAGGGCCAGGAGGGUUUCUGACGAAACAGCCUUUUACUCGCCAAAAAACAAGACCGUGGUGUUGGGAGACACCCUCAGGAGAAUGUGUGUCUGAGCAUGGCUGAGCCUGACUCCUGGGGGAGGACUUGGAGAAAGAGCUCCACAAUUGUCCUCUGUCCACCUCUCAGCCGCCUCCAUAGCUCAGUGCAGGGUGCCAGGCUCAGACUCUGCAAGCAGCUCCCCUCCAGCCCUGGGCAGCACCGAGGUUCCAGACCAAGGACCACGGAGUGCGGGGCUGCCCUCCACUGGGGCGCCCGGCUGCAGGUCCAGCAUGGAGAGAGCUCUUGAGACUAGAAAGUCCCCAAGAAAAUGCUAUCCCUCGCUAAGGGGCACUGGCUCCCAGACCCUGCCCCAAGGGCCGGACAUCCUGGGCCAUGUGUCCAGGGAGGGUCAGGCCAUGCGGCCUCUAGGAAACAAUGCCUGGCCAGACUCAGAGGACGGGGUCAGCCAGGGACUGGGGCUGUGUGAACCAGCAAGGCGGGCUGGGGGGUCUUCAGCCUGGUGUGGACUCCUCACCUGGCUCAGGGGUACCCUGGGGAAGCUGGGGCCUAGCUCCCUGACGGCCAAGAAGCUGAGCCUUGGUGUGACCCACACAAGCCAUGGUGCCUCCGUGUAUGCGCACUGCUGGUCAUGAUGGUCGCACUCCCUUUGACAUUUCAA
This 1085-nucleotide long non-coding RNA is filed under the name Homo sapiens (human). RNAcentral describes it as "HSALNT0216846". Lineage: Eukaryota; Metazoa; Chordata; Mammalia; Primates; Hominidae. The record is from RNAcentral.